CCAGACUCCUACGGGAGGCAGCAGUGGGGGAUAUUGCACAAUGGGGGGAACCCUGAUGCAGCGACGCCGCGUGGGUGAAGAAGUCAUUCGUGACGUAAAGCCCUAUCAGCAGGGAAGAAAUUGACGGUACCUGAGUAAGAAGCUCCGGCUAAAUACGUGCCAGCAGCCGCGGUAAUACGUAUGGAGCAAGCGUUAUCCGGAUUUACUGGGUGUAAAGGGAGCGUAGGCGGCCUGCCAAGUCUGAUGUGAAAUACCGGGGCUCAACCCCGGGACUGCAUUUGGAACUGUGUGGCUGGAGUGUCGGAGAGGCAGGCGGAAUUCCUAGUGUAGCGGUGAAAUGCGUAGAUAUUAGGAGGAACACCAGUGGCGAAGGCGGCCUGCUGGACGAUGACUGGCGUUGAGGCUCGAAAGCGUGGGGAGCAAACAGGAUUAGAUACCCCGGUA
This 444-nucleotide ribosomal RNA is filed under the name uncultured bacterium. RNAcentral's name for it is "partial 16S ribosomal RNA". It matches the Rfam family "Bacterial small subunit ribosomal RNA", at positions 331 to 792 of the family's 1533-position model. The record is from RNAcentral.